Molecule: ribosomal RNA, 324 nt
Filed under: uncultured eukaryote
Lineage: Eukaryota
Description: partial 18S ribosomal RNA
Rfam family: Eukaryotic small subunit ribosomal RNA
Source: RNAcentral
CCCUUAGAUGUUCUGGGCCGCACGCGCGCUACACUGAUGCAUUCAACGAGUUUCUUCCUGGUCCGAGAGGAAUGGGUAACCUUUUGAAAGUGCAUCGUGAUAGGGAUAGACUAUUGCAAUUAUUGGUCUUCAACGAGGAAUUCCUAGUAGACGUAGUUCAUCAGACUGCAUCGAUUACGUCCCUGCCCGUUGUACACACCGCCCGUCGCUCCUACCGAUUGAAUGCUCAGGUGAGCCAUUCGGACCUUCAUCAUGCCGGUUUCCGGUUUUGAUGAGGGAAAGUCUUGCGAACCUUAUCAUUUAGAGGAAGGAGAAGUCGUAACA